RNAcentral lists this long non-coding RNA (2050 nucleotides) under Nicotiana benthamiana. RNAcentral's name for it is "long non-coding RNA (NBEN_LNC039079)". Lineage: Eukaryota; Viridiplantae; Streptophyta; Magnoliopsida; Solanales; Solanaceae. The record is from RNAcentral.
UUUUUAUUUCAAAUUCUCACGUAGCAUCUAGAACUCAGGAUAUUAGACCUCCUCACACUACCAUUACUAGAUAUGAAACUCCUACGAUAAGAAGAAAUAAUUACACUACUUCAACAGUCCAUAGUCCACUUGAUUACAAUUUGAUAUUCCUUUAGGCCGAUUUAUGACACACAUAAAUCUACUAAAACCAACAAGCGAUAUUACAUUAAUCCAACAGGGCGUCAAUUACUACUAGUAUUCCGCUAAAAAACUCAUAAGCAUCUCUAAAUAUACAAACACACAAUUAAUAUUUCAAACGAGCAAACUCAUGUUUAACAGUCCAUCGGUCAAUACAGUCCAAAGUUUACACAACAAAUUGACACUUAACUAUGCUAAACAACACUUAACUAGUAUGUAAUAGUCCAAGAGGCAGAUCUCAGGAUCAUAACAGGUGGGAAAUUUUAUUCCAUUUUUGAGCUUGGAGUUACAGUAGAAUUUUGAAUGUGUACCUAGUAAUCGAAUUACAACAGAAGAAGAAAAGAUCACCAGCAAGUAAUAAAAGCUAGUAUCCAGCAGUCAUACACAACAACAAUAGGGACAGUAUGAGCCAAAAUCACUUCACAAAAAACCAGGAAACUUCACAGAAGUACUGCACUCAAUAGCUGAUCCCAAAAUGACUCAAUUUAAACCAAACUUCACUCUAAAUUCCACCAAAAAUACCUUUGAAACUCCAGGAUACCAGAAAACUAAACUAGGAAAUGGAAAUCAACUACUAAAACUAGAAAUUAGCUAGAAAAACUGAAUAGAACAGUGCAUUUUGGAUUUCUUUUUGUUGAAUUUUGUUUGUUUUUGGAUUUUUAGGGAACUAAGAUCUAGAAACUCUAUCAGAUUUUCAGUUUUCUUUUUUAGUCCAUAUUCAUUUUCAGCUUUCGUCCUUUAUUUUUUGACUUGUUACCCAAGUAAAUUCCACUGAUAUUACAAAAAUUAUACUUAUACCCCUAUCUAGAAAGUUCAUGAAAACUCUAGUAUGACCUAUAACCUUCAUUUCUACUUCCAAUUACCCACAUACCCCUGAAUAUCCCCUGAAUUUACUAAACUUACUAAUUAAGCUAACAACACUCAUUAAUAUGAUCAACCAAGAAUCACACACAAAAUUUCAAAUUAAGACUUAAACCUAAAGAAAAGAUCAAUAGGAAUGAGUUCUUACUAACCAGAUCAGAAAGGAAGAUAAUGAUCACUAAAAAAAAUUAAACUAAAACCUAUUGCGAAUGAAGAUGGACUAAGAUGAAAACAACAUUAACACCUAACAAAUCCUAAUUUAAUGAAGUUAUGAUAAUAAUCAAACUAGCAUAUAAAAUAGAACGAAUUAAAAUCUAAAUAAACAAACAAUCAAACAGCCAAUUAGAAUGAUAUUGAUAGAAGUUAAAACACUCAUUAAACUAAGUAUAAGAACAGAAAAAAAAAAAGAGAAUUAAACAAAUAAGCAGGAAUAUAAAAGAAAAAGAAAAAUAAACAAUCGAGAACUCACUGACUCGACUUCAAAACACCAGUUGAUUCUCAAAAUUCAAAUCCGGCCAUGUCCGGUGGUAAUUGAGUGCUACUGACAUGGAAUUCCUCAUGAGGAAGAGGAAGGGAUCACAUGGUAUCAAUUUGGUAUAAUUUUGGGAAUUUAGGAUUUUGACCGGAAAUCUUUAAUUUAAAAUUUGAAGGAUUCCAGUUAGAUUCGAAGGGUGAGGCUUUGGGGGCUCGAUAGAGGACGGGGAGGGGAACCUAUGGUGUUAUUUUGUACUAGUUUGUAAAGAGUUAUGUUCUGGACGGAAAACCUAUGAUCCGAUAUUUGACCAGUUUGGAUGGCGUUUGAGGGAUAAGGAUUGUGGAUUUGAGAUGAGGGAGAAGAAGGGGCUUCAGGGUGUCAUUUCGGGGUAGUUUGUAGACGGGCCGCCGCCGUGGGCAAUUUCCAGGUGCGGCGUUACAAGGCUGGUCACAGGGUGAUUUGGGGACGAUUAAACGGGGGGGAGGGGGGUGAGAAUCUAACACUCUUAUAUUUUUUGUUCCUUAGUUCCUGGCCGUU